UUAAGAAUGCUGACAAAUCUAGAACGCUGACAAACGUCCAAAUAUUUUAAGAAUGCUGACAAAUCUAGAACGCUGACAAACUUCCAAAAAUGUUAAGAAUGCUGACAAAUCUAAAGUUUGUGCAAAGAACGUUGACAAGCACCAAUUCUCCCAACACCCCUUCAUCAACCCACGCCCGGCUCCCCACAAAAAAGGUUGACGAAAGAACGCUGACAUGCCUCCAAAAAUGUUAGACAAAGAACGCUGCCAAAUAUCUUAAAGAUUGCGCAAGAAUCCCUGACAAAUCUCCAAAAAGGUUUGUGCAAAGAACGCUGACAAAUAUCUGAAAGAUUGCGCAAUAAACCCUGACAAAUCUCAAAAAAAGGUUUGUGCAAAGAACGAUGCCAAAAAUCUGAAAGAUUGCGCAAUAAACUCUGACAAAUAUCCAAAAAGGUUUGUGCAAAGAACGCUGAUAAACCUCCAAAAGUAUGUUUAAUGAACGCCGACAAACAUGAAUUCCAUUGACAACAAGCAGUCGCUGUUUGUAAAUUAGGUAUAUGUGGUCAAACUGUGUCAGACACAUUUCUGGGCUGCAAAAUCAGUAAUAAAGGUCCACAAUGCCUUUGAUUAUAAUGUGGCUGCCACAUUUUUAUUGUCAACUUAAUCUUAUUUUUGAUAAUUGUUUCCUCAUAAUAACUGUCCAAGGUUUGAAUAUGGGUUAACACAGUAGAUAGUAUCACUUAAUUUGAUGUUUUAAUUACCUCCCUUUAUAGUUCUAAUAGUAACCCUUCAUGUUCAACUUUUCUAGCCAUCUAAGUACGCACAACAUCUAUUUGGACAACUUCUUUAUCUGUUUUUAACAUAUUUUUUUAAGCUUUAUGGAACUUAAAAAGAAUCAUACAUGGGUCAAAAUUAGAUUUUUCUUCUUGUUAGUCUUAUACUGUCUGACAUAUAUACAAGCGAUAAGAACAAUAUCUGCUUCGUCUAAUUGAUAACGGCUCAUGUACGCAGUGUCAUAACCUCAUAACCUUAAAACUAUAUAAGAUUAUUUCUAACUUUUUACAAAAAGGGAUAACAAAAAUAAUGAUAUUCUUAUGGAUGUGUUUAAUUGUGCACGGGAUUCCCGGGAUGUUGUUGUCUCAGGAUUUACCGGCAGAUAUCACACAAUCUAUGUUGGCGCUACUACAAGAAGAAACCACAUUAAGAACUAAACUUGAGCAGGACAUGGCAGAACUUGGCAAGGAACUAAACACGCUGAAAGCACUAAAAAAUAAUGUAACAUGUGAAUGUCCGUGGCACACUCAACCUGUAGCGUUUUCGGCAACUUUGACUCAGGACAUCACGUCCUUAGGAGUCCGCCAACAAAUUCCAUUCGACCAGAUAAUCACCAACAUAGGAAAUAGUUACGACAGUCGGCACGGUGAAUUUCGUGCACCCGUCACAGGAACGUACGAAUUCUCAGUUUCUAUGCUGAUGAAUCCUGGACACUGGGCAGGCGUGGAAAUAGUAAAAGAUGGGGUAGCAAUUGGCAAACUUCGAACUGGCGACAGUGCGAAAUGGACCAUGGCGGGGACGUCGGUAACGGCGGAAAUGGCCGCCGGGCAGGACGUAUGGGUGGAGCAUAUCGCUGAAAGUGACAGUAACGUGUUUUAUGGUCAAUCAUUCUCGACGUUUUCUGGACAUCUCAUCCAACCUUAAUUCGGCAGAAAAAUUUCAAAAAAACUUUCUUCAUAACUGUUUUUCUUAUUUUUCCAUUUCAGUUAGGCCGUUUAUGUGUGUAUGCACGUAUAUGAAACAAAAUCUCUUCUCCUUCGUAAAACAGCUCCCGAGAGUACAGAUAUGUUUUCUAAUGAUGCCUUAGUAAUAUGUUAUUCAAUGUUAUUUAGCUAUGUUAGUUUCCACAUGGUUUUCACUUUCUUUAUGCCUUGGCAAACCGAGGAUGUACCUCAGACUUUCAAAAAAAUGCAUAUUAUCCAUGUACUUCUAUAAAAUUCUUCCGACUUACAUCAAAAUACACCAUGAUCGAGGCAUUAAAGGUUGAUUUUCCUUCUUCUUUUUUUGUUUCCAAAAUUUCCAUAGCAACACUAAUGCAAGAACGUAAGCGUAAAGCAAAAAGGUGCUAUUUACACUUAAGGCCAGAAUUAACAGUUUUUGUAUAUUACAGUAAAUCAAAACUUAAACACAAUUUUAGCAUUAAUAAAGUUUAUCAUGGGAGAACAACAAGGUAUCAUCAAUAUAAGUUACCCAGCAGAAAGAUGCCGUAGGUCUCACAUAGGCUUGCCGACAGAAUUUUAACCCGUUUUUACUGGUUAAAGAUUCUGUUGUAACACGGUUCCAUGAACCACUGUUUCAACAUGAUCUCAUGAUCUGCUGAAUCGCCAUAACCACUGGUUUGCACAGUAACGUAAUUCUAUGAUAAUGUCUGUCCAACCAUCAUACUCAUUGUAUUUUACGACUAGUCACUGACGUUAUAAUCUGUCAUACUGCAACUGUAUAAUAGUAUAUCAAUGUUUAUCCGUAUGAAAUACUUCAGCUGAAGAAUGGAGUGAACGCGGCAACAAUCUUGAAACAAGUCAACCAUUCUACCAAAUAUCCGCUAUAUACUCUAAAACGAUUGCUAAAAGGACACUGACAAACUUCCAAAAAUGUUAAGAAUGCUGACAAAUCUAAAGUUUGUGCAAAGAACGCUGACAAGCACCCAUCCUCCCAACACCCCUUUCAUCCACUCACGCCCGACUCCCCACGAAAAAAAGUUGCCGAAAGAACGCUGACAGACCUCUAAAAUGUUAUUCAAAGAACGCUGCAAAAUAUCUUAAAAGAUUGCGCAAUAAACCCCGACAAAUCUCAAAACAAGUUUGUGCAAAGAACGCUGCCAAAUAUCUGAAAGAUAGUGCCAUACACUGACAAAUCUCCAAAACGGUUUGUGCAAAGAACGCUGCCAAAUAUCUGAACGAUUGCGCAACAAACUCAAAGGUUUGUGCAGAGUGCUGACAAACCUCAAAAAAGGGGAAAGAACGCCGACAAACACGACUUCCGUUGACAAUAUGCACGGUUACUCGCUAUUUGUAAAUUAUGUAUCCAUGGCCAAACUGUGUUAGACAUAUUUUCUGAGCUGCAAAAUCAGUACUAAUAAAAGAAUCAUACAUGAGUCAAAAUUUCUUCUUUCAAGUCUUAUACGGUCUGACAUAUAUACAAGUGAUAAGAACAAUAUUUACUUUGUCUAAUUGAUAACGGCUCAUGUACUCCAUGUCAUAACCUCAAAACCUUAAAACUGUCUUAAAACUAUAGAUCUAUAUAAAAUUAUUUCUAACUUUACCAAAAAGAAAUAACAAAAAUAAUGAUAUUCUUAUGGAUGUGUUUAAUUGUGCACGGGAUUCCCGGGAUGUUGUUGGCUCAGGAUUUACCGGCAGAUAUUACACAAUCUAUGUUGGUGUUACUACAAGAAGAAACCACAUUAAGAACUAAACUUGAGCAGGACAUGGCAGAACUUGGCAAGGAACUAAACACGCUGAAAGCUCUGAAAAAUAAUGUAACAUGUGAAUGUCCGUGGCACACUCAACCUGUAGCGUUUUCGGCAACUUUGACUCAGGACAUCACGUCCUUAGGAGUCCGCCAACAAGUUCCAUUUGACAAGAUAAUCACCAACAUAGGAAAUAGUUACGACAGUCGGCACGGUGAAUUUCGUGCACCCGUCACAGGAACGUACGAAUUAUCAGUUUCAAUGCUGAUGAAUCCCGGACACUGGGCAGGCGUGGAAAUAGUAAAAG
Mercenaria mercenaria is the source of this 3746-nucleotide RNA transcript. It is a transcript of the gene named complement C1q-like protein 4, with no coding region annotated. The transcript has 6 exons. NCBI's taxonomy places the organism in Eukaryota, Metazoa, Mollusca, Bivalvia, Venerida, Veneridae. The record is from RefSeq and is a predicted model, not a curated record.